RNAcentral lists this ribosomal RNA (794 nucleotides) under uncultured euryarchaeote. Its description in RNAcentral is "bacterial SSU rRNA". It matches the Rfam family "Archaeal small subunit ribosomal RNA", at positions 505 to 1299 of the family's 1478-position model. Lineage: Archaea; Methanobacteriati; Methanobacteriota. The record is from RNAcentral.
UGGGUCUAAAACAUCCGUAGCUUGCUUUGUAAGUCUCUUGUGAAAUCCGGCAUCUCAAAUGUCGGGCGCGCAGGAGAUACUGCAUCGCUAGAGACCGGGAGACGUAAGGAGUACGUGAGGGGUAUCGGUAAAAUGAGUUGAUCCUUUGCGGACUAACGAUAGCGAAGGCACCUUACGAGAACGGAUCUGACAGUCAGGGAUGAAGGCUAGGAUCGCGAAAGGGAUUAGAUACCCCUGUAGUCCUAGCAGUAAACACUGCGCACUAAACAUCGGUAUCUCCUCGAGAGGCAUCGGUGCUGCAGGGAAGCCGUAGAGUGCGCUACCUGGGAAGUAUAGUCGCAAGGCCGAAACUUAAAGGAAUUGGCGGGGGAGCACAACAAGGGGUGCGGCGUGCGGUUUAAUCCAACUCAACGCGGAGAAUCUCACCAGGAGCGACGGCAGAAUGAAGGUCAGUCUGAAGGGCUUACCUAACGAGCCGAGAGGUGGUGCAUGGCCGUCGUUAGCUCGUGCCGUAAGGUGUCCUGUUAAGUCAGGCAACGAGCGAGACCUGUACCUACAAUUGCCAUCGACACUUUUAGUGGAUCGGGCACAUUGUAGGGACUGCCCUGGAAACAGGGGGGAAGGUGCAGGCAACGAUAGGUCUGUAUGCCCCGAAUCUUCUGGGCUACACGCGCGCAACAAUGGUAGAGACAAUGGGACACGACUCCGAAAGGAGAAGUUAAUCCUCUAAACUCUAUCUCAGUCCAGAUUGAGGAUUGUAACUCAUCCUCAUGACGAUGGAAUCCCUAGUAAUC